GCAGUGACCAAAAAAUAAUCUCCAGAAUAACACAUGAUUUUCAACAUGGAUUUUAAACAUAAAAAACAUGUUGUUAACCAACUAAAAUCAUGCUGUUUACAAUGUUUUAACAUCAUAUUAAAACAUCAAAUCAAAAACUUAACAUUCAUAAGAUCAUGCUAUUUCAUGGUAGAAUUUCAUAAACAAAAUUCUUAUAAAACUAAAACAUGAAUCCUAACAUAACAUGAUUCUUAUGAAC
Molecule: long non-coding RNA, 238 nt
Filed under: Nicotiana benthamiana
Lineage: Eukaryota; Viridiplantae; Streptophyta; Magnoliopsida; Solanales; Solanaceae
Description: long non-coding RNA (NBEN_LNC014104)
Source: RNAcentral